GAUGAACGCUGGCGGCGUGCCUAAUACAUGCAAGUCGAGCGAACAGACGAGGAGCUUGCUCCUCUGACGUUAGCGGCGGACGGGUGAGUAACACGUGGAUAACCUACCUAUAAGACUGGGAUAACUGCGGGAAACCGGAGCUAAUACCGGAUAAUAUAUUGAACCGCAUGGUUCAAUAGUGAAAGACGGUUUUGCUGUCUCUUAUAGAUGGAUCCGCGCCGCAUUAGCUAGUUGGUAAGGUAACGGCUUACCAAGGCAACGAUGCGUAGCCGACCUGAGAGGGUGAUCGGCCACACGGGAACUGAGACACGGUCCAGACUCCUACGGGAGGCAGCAGUAGGGAAUCUUCCGCAAUGGGCGAAAGCCUGACGGAGCAACGCCGCGUGAGUGAUGAAGGUCUUCGGAUCGUAAAACUCUGUUAUUAGGGAAGAACAAAUGUGUAAGUAACUAUGCACGUCUUGACGGUACCUAAUCAGAAAGCCACGGCUAACUACGUG
This 497-nucleotide ribosomal RNA is filed under the name uncultured bacterium. Its description in RNAcentral is "partial 16S ribosomal RNA". It matches the Rfam family "Bacterial small subunit ribosomal RNA", at positions 28 to 507 of the family's 1533-position model. The record is from RNAcentral.